UACGUAGGGUGCAAGCGUUGUCCGGAAUUAUUGGGCGUAAAGAGCUCGUAGGCGGUCUGUCGCGUCGGCUGUGAAAACCCGGAGCUCAACUCCGGGCCUGCAGUCGAUACGGGCAGACUGGAGUUCGGCAGGGGAGACUGGAAUUCCUGGUGUAGCGGUGAAAUGCGCAGAUAGUCAGGAGGAACACCGGUAGGCGAAGGCGGGUCUCUGGGCCGAUGACUGACGCUGGACGGAGCGAAAGCGUGGGGGAGCGAACAGG
Molecule: ribosomal RNA, 259 nt
Filed under: uncultured bacterium
Lineage: Bacteria
Description: partial 16S ribosomal RNA
Rfam family: Bacterial small subunit ribosomal RNA
Source: RNAcentral